GAUGAACGCUGGCGGCGUGCUUAACACAUGCAAGUCGAACGAAACACCUUAUUUGAUUUUCUUCGGAACUGAAGAUUUGGUGAUUGAGUGGCGGACGGGUGAGUAACGCGUGGGUAACCUGCCCUGUACAGGGGGAUAACAGUCAGAAAUGACUGCUAAUACCGCAUAAGACCACAGCACCGCAUGGUGCAGGGGUAAAAACUCCGGUGGUACAGGAUGGACCCGCGUCUGAUUAGCUGGUUGGUGAGGUAACGGCCCACCAAGGCGACGAUCAGUAGCCGGCUUGAGAGAGUGAACGGCCACAUUGGGACUGAGACACGGCCCAAACUCCUACGGGAGGCAGCAGUGGGGAAUAUUGCACAAUGGGGGAAACCCUGAUGCAGCGACGCCGCGUGAGUGAAGAAGUAUUUCGGUAUGUAAAGCUCUAUCAGCAGGGAAGAAAAUGACGGUACCUGACUAAGAAGCCCCGGCUAACUACGUG
This 481-nucleotide ribosomal RNA is filed under the name uncultured bacterium. RNAcentral describes it as "partial 16S ribosomal RNA". It matches the Rfam family "Bacterial small subunit ribosomal RNA", at positions 28 to 507 of the family's 1533-position model. The record is from RNAcentral.